This is a small nuclear RNA of Heterocephalus glaber (naked mole-rat), 107 nucleotides long. The record is from Ensembl. Lineage: Eukaryota; Metazoa; Chordata; Mammalia; Rodentia; Bathyergidae.
UUGCUGGCUUCAGCAGCAUAUAUACUAAAAUCGGAACGAUACAGAGAAGAUGAGCAUGGCCCCUGCGCAAGGAUGACAUGCAGAGUCGUGAAGUGUUCCAUAUUUUU